CCUACGGGAGGCAGCAGUGGGGAAUAUUGCACAAUGGGGGGAACCCUGAUGCAGCGACGCCGCGUGAGUGAAGAAGUAUUUCGGUAUGUAAAGUUCUAUCAUCAGGGAAGAUAAUGACGGUAUCUGACUAAGAAGCCCCGGCUAACUACGUGCCAGCAGCCGCGGUAAUACGUAGGGGGCAAGCGUUAUUCGGAUUUACUGGGUGUAAAGGGAGCGCAGACGGCUGUGCAAGUCUGGAGUGAAAGGCGGGGGCCCAACCCUCGGACUGCUCUGGAAACUGUAAAGCUAGAGUGCAGGAGAGGUAAGCGGAAUUCCUAGUGUAGCGGUGAAAUGCGUAGAGAUUAGGAGGAACACCAGUGGCGAAGGCGACUUACUGGACUGCAACUGACGUUGAGGCGCGAAAGCGUGGGGAGCAAACAGGAUUAGAUACCCGAGUAGUC
RNAcentral lists this ribosomal RNA (440 nucleotides) under uncultured bacterium. Its description in RNAcentral is "partial 16S ribosomal RNA". It matches the Rfam family "Bacterial small subunit ribosomal RNA", at positions 338 to 795 of the family's 1533-position model. The record is from RNAcentral.